Long non-coding RNA from Phyllostomus discolor (pale spear-nosed bat), 323 nucleotides. RefSeq lists it as uncharacterized. The record is from RefSeq and is a predicted model, not a curated record. Lineage: Eukaryota; Metazoa; Chordata; Mammalia; Chiroptera; Phyllostomidae. The transcript has 3 exons.
GCCCAGGCACUGCAAGCAGAAAUCCCGUGGGAAUGUCCAGCUUUUCAACCAGUGAGGGCCACUGUCAGCCAUGUUUGCCUUUGCCCCUCUUCUGGCCACCGCGGUGUAAAAGGGGACAAAGUUGCCACUCAUGCAUGCUCUGUUCAAGCUCCCUUAUGACCAGCCACAAGCUGUCUGGCUGGCCCCAGGCAAUUUCCAUCCUUUGCAGGGAGGGAAAGCUGCUUCUAAUCUUCAAGUUCACCUCAGGGUUUUCUCCCUGCCCCAUGCCUUCUCCACUGAUUUGGCCAGACCACUCUAUUACAUAACUUUUCAAAGCACUUUUC